UGCAGUCGAACGGCAACAGGGUAGCAAUACCGCUGACGAGUGGCGCACGGGUGCGUAACGCGUAUGCAGUCUACCUUUAACAGGGGAAUAGCUCAGAGAAAUCUGAAUUAAUACCGCAUAAUAUAGUGAGUGGGCAUCCACUUACUAUCAAACCUUCGGGGGUUAAAGAUGAGCAUGCGUAUCAUUAGCUAGUUGGUGAGGUAACGGCUCACCAAGGCUACGAUGAUUAGGGGGUCUGAGAGGAUGAUCCCCCACACUGGUACUGAGACACGGACCAGACUCCUACGGGAGGCAGCAGUAAGGAAUAUUGGUCAAUGGACGAAAGUCUGAACCAGCCAUGCCGCGUGCAGGAUUAAGGCCCUAUGGGUCGUAAACUGCUUUUAUACGGGACAAAACCACCCUACGUGUAGGGUGCUGAUGGUACUGUAAGAAUAAGGAUCGGCUAACUUCGUGCCAGCAGCCGCGGUAAUACGAAGGAUUCGAGCGUUAUCCGGAUUUAUUGGGUUUAAAGGGUGCGUAGGCGGACUGAUAAGUCAGUGGUGAAAGCCUGUUGCUUAACAACAGAACUGCCAUUGAUACUGCCAGUCUUGAGUACAGUUGAGGUAGGCGGAAUGUGUCAUGUAGUGGUGAAAUACUUAGAUAUGACACAGAACACCGAUCGCGAAGGCAGCUUGCUAAACUGUAACUGACGCUGAGGCACGAAAGCAUGGGGAGCAAACAGGAUUAGAUACCCUGGUAGUCCAUGCCCUAAACGAUGAUUACUCGAUGUGUGCGAUACACAGUACGCGUCUAAGCGAAAGCAUUAAGUAAUCCACCUGGGAAGUACGACCGCAAGGUUGAAACUCAAAGGAAUUGACGGGGGCCCGCACAAGCGGAGGAGCAUGUGGUUUAAUUCGAUGAUACGCGAGGAACCUUACY
This 918-nucleotide ribosomal RNA is filed under the name uncultured bacterium. RNAcentral describes it as "bacterial SSU rRNA". It matches the Rfam family "Bacterial small subunit ribosomal RNA", at positions 56 to 975 of the family's 1533-position model. The record is from RNAcentral.